Long non-coding RNA from Caretta caretta (loggerhead turtle), 2499 nucleotides. RefSeq lists it as uncharacterized. NCBI's taxonomy places the organism in Eukaryota, Metazoa, Chordata, Testudines, Cheloniidae. The record is from RefSeq and is a predicted model, not a curated record.
AACUCUCUCUGGUGGUGUUCCGAUAUCUACCGAGACAUUUUUUGGUUUGGGUUGUUUUCCUGAAGAGAGCUGGUGGUUUCUUUCUUCCAAAUCAGCUUCAGUAUAAUUGGGCCGGAUUCAUUCUUCGUGUAAUGCCAGCUGAAUUCAGAGGAGUUGCCCAGGAAAUAAUUUAGUCCCUUAUGUGAGUGGAUUGUUACUCUGUUAAGUCAACUCUGACUGUACUUUUCCAUCUGGCUUUAACAGCUCUAGUGUUUGGAGUGCUAAUGAGUGGAGGUAAACAGAGUUCACCAUGGAGAUUCUUAAUGCAAGUCCUCUGGGAGCCUUUCCAUUGACUUCAGCGGGUCUAGAUCAGGUCCCUACACUGGUUUCAAGUGGUAGAAAAGACUAAUACCGAGUAAAGGAGAAUGAACAAAGAACCAGUCUAUUGCUCCACAUUUUCCCGUACAUCAACUGCAGAAGUUAUUGAUGAAACAAAGCUGGAAACCGCUGAUCUGAAAAAUCUCAUCUCUCACGGGGAAGCUGGGAAUACAGCAAUCUUGCACAGAGAGAGCUGCAUGGACUUCUAAUGGUUGACAAUCCCUGUGCUAGCCAUCUCUGAAGAGAAAGCAAGCUGGUGUGUUUGGAUGGCUCGUCUCCGCUGGGAAAAACAGUGAAAACUGGGCGGGCUGGAAAUACCCCAUCAGGAGGGAGAGAGAGACGUGGAUCUCCACCCAAGAAAGGCAAUGGCUGGGAAGCAGGAAGGCUGCAGUUGGGUGUCCUGGCUGGUCCACUGAGGGGGAAUGCAGAUGCAGUUGCCCUGAACUUGAACCACGGGUUAGGUGGUGGAGUCUCAGGCUAUGACCAGGUAGCACUUCCCAAGAGACCGGCCUGUCUGAGUGACCUUGGGCCUCUGGGGCUGGGCUGCCCACUGAUACCAAACCAAGAGUGGGGUUUAGCAGAUGGCAAAGGGGACGGGACACUGUAAAGGGGCAUUUGCCUCUUGGCUGUUUGCACUGGUGGGUGGGGAACAGAGCUAACUGAUGACUCUAAGAGUUACUGUGGAAGUGCGUUUUACCUGUCAGUCACUUAGACUGCGGGGUGUUUUCCCAAGCUGAAGCUGUGUCCCCUCUCCCCCAGUACAGGAUGGCAUUUAAUGUAACCCUCUUACCAAUUCCUUGGUAGCCUUUUAUUUUUGUCAAACAUACGCUUAAUUCCUGCCUUGAUAAUUGAACGAAUUCAUAUUUGCUGCCAGUCACACUUGCUGAAAUUGGACAUUACAAUUCUGCAGAUGUUGUGCUGUAUUCUGAGAAGAUAAUGAGAAACACUUUUAAGACAUGGAUUUGGAAGUUCAUUAAUUUCCUUUAAUGGUGACCCUGUGCUCUGCCUGACGAGCUAAUUAUGACAGAAUUGUUUUGUGAGGCUCGACGACCACAAGUGCUGCUCAGUGCGGAGGCAAUCCCGUGACGCAGGGCUAUGCUCUCCUCCCCGUUACACCACUCUGGCUGUGCAGUAGGUUGGUCCAAUGGAGUUACACCUGUGAGACGGAGAACACUGCUUGGCCCAUUGCGCACACAUCGCAGACAGAGCGUAGACAGUCCGAGCCAUCAGAGCUUUGAAUAAUGGAACCCCAGAGCUGGAUUCAUGCUAAAGAACUGGAAGCAUCCAAGGACCGAGACCCAGCGCCGCCAAGAAAUGCUGGGAACUCUGUGCCCAUCUUUGUGGUGCCAGAAAAGCAUCAGCUAAAACAGAUGAGAGCCAGGUGUACAAGGAGGGGCCUCUGUUAGGAGAGGUUAUAUUUUAAACGGGACUAUAAAUAAUCUAUUUCCUUCCUGUGCCAAGCACUGGACUCAGACCACAAAGGGCUAAUGGAGCAAUGUUAGAAGCCCCCAACAUCUAAUUUGAUCUAUAAAAUAACAUUUAAACUUAAAACUUUUCAUAUGUAGAGCUGCAAGUGAUUUAUAAGGGUCCAUUGAUGUCAGUGAGGUUGUAUCAGGAACCAAAGAAUCACAGAAAGAAUGAGGAGGACUUGUGGCACCUUAGAGGCUAAUAAAUGUAUUUGAGCAUCAGCUUUUGUGGGCUAAAGCUCACUUCAUCGGAUGCAUUCAGUGGAAAAUACAGUAGGAAGAUACACACACACCAUGAAAAAAUGGGGGUUGCCAUACCAACUCUUAACGAGACCAAUCAAUUAAGGUGGGCUAUCAUCAGCAGGAGAAAAAAAAAAUGUUUGUAGUGAUAAUCAGGACAGCCCAUUUCAAACAGCUGACAAGAAGGUGUGAGUAACAGUAGGGGGAAAAUUAGCAUGGGAAAAUAGUUUUUAGUUAGUGAAAUGACUCAUCCACUCCCAGUCUUUAUUCAAGUCUAAUUUGAUGGAGUCCAGUUUGCAGAUUAAUUUCAGUUCUGCUGUUUCUGUUUUUGAAGGUUUUUUGUUGAAGAAUUGCAACUUUUAGGUCUGUAAUCGAGUGACCAAAGAGACUGAAUUGUUCUCUGACUGGUUUUUGAAUGUUAUAAUUCUUGAUGUCA